ACCUACGGGGCGCAGCAGUGAGGAAUAUUGGUCAAUGGGCGGAAGCCUGAACCAGCCAAGUCGCGUGAGGGAAUAAGGCCCUACGGGUCGUAAACCUCUUUUGCCGGGGAGCAAGGGCGGGGACGUGUCCCGGCCCGGAGAGUACCCGGAGAAAAAGCAUCGGCUAACUCCGUGCCAGCAGCCGCGGUAAUACGGAGGAUGCGAGCGUUAUCCGGAUUUAUUGGGUUUAAAGGGUGCGCAGGCGGUCUGUUAAGUCAGCGGUCAAAGCCCGGGGCUCAACCCCGGCCCGCCGUUGAAACUGGCAG
RNAcentral lists this ribosomal RNA (305 nucleotides) under uncultured bacterium. RNAcentral's name for it is "bacterial SSU rRNA". It matches the Rfam family "Bacterial small subunit ribosomal RNA", at positions 337 to 639 of the family's 1533-position model. The record is from RNAcentral.